Molecule: unclassified non-coding RNA, 356 nt
Filed under: soil metagenome
Description: partial contains 5.8S ribosomal RNA, internal transcribed spacer 2, and large subunit ribosomal RNA
Rfam family: 5.8S ribosomal RNA (bases 1-120)
Source: RNAcentral
GAUGACGAACGUAGCGAAAUGCGAUAAGUAAUGUGAAUUGCAGAAUUCAGUGAAUCAUCGAAUCUUUGAACGCACAUUGCGCCCGCCAGUAUUCUGGCGGGCAUGCCUGUCCGAGCGUCAUUUCAACCCUCGAACCCCUCCGGGGGGUCGGCGUUGGGGAUCGGGAACCCCUAAGACGGGAUCCCGGCCCCGAAAUACAGUGGCGGUCUCGCCGCAGCCUCUCCUGCGCAGUAGUUUGCACAACUCGCACCGGGAGCGCGGCGCGUCCACGUCCGUAAAACACCCAACUUCUGAAAUGUUGACCUCGGAUCAGGUAGGAAUACCCGCUGAACUUAAGCAUAUCAAUAAGCGGAGGA